This 253-nucleotide ribosomal RNA is filed under the name uncultured bacterium. Its description in RNAcentral is "partial 16S ribosomal RNA". It matches the Rfam family "Bacterial small subunit ribosomal RNA", at positions 524 to 776 of the family's 1533-position model. The record is from RNAcentral.
UACGUAGGGUCCGAGCGUUGUCCGGAAUUACUGGGCGUAAAGCGUGCGCAGGCGGUUUUGUAAGCCAGAUGUGAAAUCCCCGGGCUUAACCUGGGAAUGGCAUUUGGGACUGCAAGGCUUGAGUGCGGCAGAGGAGACUGGAAUUCCUGGUGUAGCAGUGAAAUGCGUAGAUAUCAGGAGGAACACCGAUGGCGAAGGCAGGUCUCUGGGCUGACACUGACGCUCAUGCACGAAAGCGUGGGGAGCAAACAGG